Molecule: ribosomal RNA, 441 nt
Filed under: uncultured Methylobacteriaceae bacterium
Lineage: Bacteria; Pseudomonadati; Pseudomonadota; Alphaproteobacteria; Hyphomicrobiales; Methylobacteriaceae
Description: bacterial SSU rRNA
Rfam family: Bacterial small subunit ribosomal RNA
Source: RNAcentral
CCUACGGGGGGCUGCAGUGGGGAAUAUUGGACAAUGGGCGCAAGCCUGAUCCAGCCAUGCCGCGUGAGUGAUGAAGGCCUUAGGGUUGUAAAGCUCUUUUAGCAGGGACGAUAAUGACGGUACCUGCAGAAAAAGCCCCGGCCAACUUCGUGCCAGCAGCCGCGGUAAUACGAAGGGGGCUAGCGUUGCUCGGAAUCACUGGGCGUAAAGCGCACGUAGGUGGGUCGUUAAGUCGGGGGUGAAAUCCCAGAGCUCAACUCUGGAACUGCCUUCGAUACUGGCGACCUUCGAGUUCGGGAGAGGUGAGUGGAACUGCGAGUGUAGAGGUGAAAUUCGUAGAUAUUCGCAAGAACACCAGUGGCGAAGGCGGCUCACUGGCCCGAUACUGACACUGAGGUGCGAAAGCGUGGGGAGCAAACAGGAUUAGAUACCCCUGUAGUC